RNAcentral lists this long non-coding RNA (233 nucleotides) under Mytilus galloprovincialis (Mediterranean mussel). The record is from RNAcentral. Lineage: Eukaryota; Metazoa; Mollusca; Bivalvia; Mytilida; Mytilidae.
GUCGGGUUGUUAGUGCACUACUACAAAAUGCGGUCUAUUUACUAUACGGUGCAACCAAGAUGAUUGACUGUCUUUGUAUAUUCCAUACAGCGAUCUUGAAGUUUUACGUUUGUUCGUAGUAAAUAUAAAACAAUUAUAAACAAUAAUUUUUUGACAAAUAUGUCUCCAUUCGAACAUGUUGAACGGUCUGUAACCAUCAGUUCCAGGCUGACUACCCUCAAGGUGGGAUUUUC